Long non-coding RNA from Seriola aureovittata, 623 nucleotides. RefSeq lists it as uncharacterized. The transcript is spliced from 3 exons. The record is from RefSeq and is a predicted model, not a curated record. Lineage: Eukaryota; Metazoa; Chordata; Actinopteri; Carangiformes; Carangidae.
UCAGAGGAGGCAAAGGCCAGGAAUGAGAACAGUUCACAUAUGUAUCAUAACAUUCAAUACGCCUCACAGCCCCGAACGUCGCUCUUAAAGUGAAACCUCCGCUCCAGGAAAUCAUCGACAUCAGGGCAAAAUAUCAAAAUUUAAAGAAAGUUGUCCUCACUGAUUCCCCUGCAUUCAGACAGACGAUGACAAUUAUUAUUCAAAGUUGUUAUUGAGUUUGAGUGAAGUUGUGCAUUUGCAGUUGAGGGCCGGAUCAUGCUUCUUUUGGGCUGCAGGCUAAAGGAAAAGUGCCCUGAGAUUCUUCUGUUGAACUUCUACUGUUUCUCUUACAGUUUGCUGUUUGAACCCACCUCCUGUCAGAAAUUGGUUUCAACAUUUGACACACAGGGCUGUCAACACAUUUUGGAAGGCCCACUCGGCUCAUCAGUGAACCAAGAGGUUCCUCUUCAAACACAAGAAUCCAGAGUCGCUCGAGGAGAGGCAGAACAAAUUCCAAACUGUGACAAGCCCACGAUGUUUUCUUCCCAUAAUGCCCGUUGCUCUCUACAUACACAAUUUCAAACGUCCAACUCUGACUGGAGCUGCAAAUACCUGCAAGACAAACACUAUCUGACACGACUCUG